GCAGUAGAACGCUGAAGAGAGGAGCUUGCUCUUCUUGGAUGAGUUGCGAACGGGUGAGUAACGCGUAGGUAACCUGCCUUGUAGCGGGGGAUAACUAUUGGAAACGAUAGCUAAUACCGCAUAACAAUGGAUGACACAUGUCAUUUAUUUGAAAGGGGCAAUUGCUCCACUACAAGAUGGACCUGCGUUGUAUUAGCUAGUAGGUGAGGUAAUGGCUCACCUAGGCGACGAUACAUAGCCGACCUGAGAGGGUGAUCGGCCACACUGGGACUGAGACACGGCCCAGACUCCUACGGGAGGCAGCAGUAGGGAAUCUUCGGCAAUGGGGGCAACCCUGACCGAGCAACGCCGCGUGAGUGAAGAAGGUUUUCGGAUCGUAAAGCUCUGUUGUAAGUCAAGAACGGGUGUGAGAGUGGAAAGUUCACACUGUGACGGUAGCUUACCAGAAAGGGACGGCUAACUACGUGCCAGCAGCCGCGGUAAUACGUAGGUCCCGAGCGUUGUCCGGAUUUAUUGGGCGUAAAGCGAGCGCAGGCGGUUUGAUAAGUCUGAAGUUAAAGGCUGUGGCUCAACCAUAGUUCGCUUUGGAAACUGUCAAACUUGAGUGCAGAAGGGGAGAGUGGAAUUCCAUGUGUAGCGGUGAAAUGCGUAGAUAUAUGGAGGAACACCGGUGGCGAAAGCGGCUCUCUGGUCUGUAACUGACGCUGAGGCUCGAAAGCGUGGGGAGCGAACAGGAUUAGAUACCCUGGUAGUCCACGCCGUAAACGAUGAGUGCUAGGUGUUGGAUCCUUUCCGGGAUUCAGUGCCGCAGCUAACGCAUUAAGCACUCCGCCUGGGGAGUACGACCGCAAGGUUGAAACUCAAAGGAAUUGACGGGGGCCCGCACAAGCGGUGGAGCAUGUGGUUUAAUUCGAAGCAACGCGAAGAACCUUACCAGGUCUUGACAUCCCGAUGCUAUUUCUAGAGAUAGAAAGUUACUUCGGUACAUCGGUGACAGGUGGUGCAUGGUUGUCGUCAGCUCGUGUCGUGAGAUGUUGGGUUAAGUCCCGCAACGAGCGCAACCCCUAUUGUUAGUUGCCAUCAUUCAGUUGGGCACUCUAGCGAGACUGCCGGUAAUAAACCGGAGGAAGGUGGGGAUGACGUCAAAUCAUCAUGCCCCUUAUGACCUGGGCUACACACGUGCUACAAUGGUUGGUACAACGAGUUGCGAGUCGGUGACGGCGAGCUAAUCUCUUAAAGCCAAUCUCAGUUCGGAUUGUAGGCUGCAACUCGCCUACAUGAAGUCGGAAUCGCUAGUAAUCGCGGAUCAGCACGCCGCGGUGAAUACGUUCCCGGGCCUUGUACACACCGCCCGUCACACCACGAGAGUUUGUAACACCCGAAGUCGGUGAGGUAACCUUUGGAGCCAGC
RNAcentral lists this ribosomal RNA (1410 nucleotides) under Streptococcus thermophilus. RNAcentral's name for it is "bacterial SSU rRNA". It matches the Rfam family "Bacterial small subunit ribosomal RNA". Lineage: Bacteria; Bacillati; Bacillota; Bacilli; Lactobacillales; Streptococcaceae. The record is from RNAcentral.